GUGAGGAAUUUUCCGCAAUGGGCGAAAGCCUGACGGAGCAAUGCCGCGUGAAGGAUGAAGGCCUAUGGGUUGUAAACUUCUUUUCUCAGAAAAGAAUUAUGACGGUAUCUGAGGAAUAAGCAUCGGCUAACUCUGUGCCAGCAGCCGCGGUAAGACAGAGGAUGCAAGCGUUAUCCGGAAUGAUUGGGCGUAAAGCGUCUGUAGGUUGUUUAAAAAGUAUUCUGUCAAAGAUUAGGGCUUAACCCUAGAUAGGCAGAAUAAACUUUUAAGCUAGAGUUUGGUAGAGGAAGAGGGAAUUCCCGGUGGAGCGGUGAAAUGCGUAGAUAUCGGGAGGAACACCAAAGGCGAAGGCACUCUGCUGGGCCAAUACUAACACUGAGAGACGAAAGCGAGGGGAGCAAAUGGGAUUAGAAACCCGGGUAGUCC
Molecule: ribosomal RNA, 426 nt
Filed under: uncultured bacterium
Lineage: Bacteria
Description: bacterial SSU rRNA
Rfam family: Bacterial small subunit ribosomal RNA
Source: RNAcentral